This 253-nucleotide ribosomal RNA is filed under the name uncultured bacterium. RNAcentral describes it as "partial 16S ribosomal RNA". It matches the Rfam family "Bacterial small subunit ribosomal RNA", at positions 524 to 776 of the family's 1533-position model. The record is from RNAcentral.
UACAGAGGUCUCAAGCGUUGUUCGGAUUCAUUGGGCGUAAAGGGUGCGUAGGUGGCGCCGUAAGUCGGGUGUGAAAUCCUGAGGCUUAACCUCAGAACUGCAUUCGAUACUGCGGUGCUUGAGGACUGGAGAGGAGACUGGAAUUCAUGGUGUAGCAGUGAAAUGCGUAGAGAUCAUGAGGAAGACCAGUGGCGAAGGCGGGUCUCUGGACAGUUCCUGACACUGAGGCACGAAGGCCAGGGGAGCAAACGGG